RNAcentral lists this ribosomal RNA (618 nucleotides) under Coolia monotis. RNAcentral describes it as "LSU rRNA". It matches the Rfam family "Eukaryotic large subunit ribosomal RNA", at positions 88 to 655 of the family's 3401-position model. Lineage: Eukaryota; Dinophyceae; Peridiniales; Ostreopsidaceae. The record is from RNAcentral.
GGCGAAUGACAAAGACAUAAUCAUUUUGAAAAUUGUGAUCUGUGAUCAUGAAUUGUAAUAUUCAAAAUGCAUUGCUAACAAAAUUGCAUAUGUUAGUUUAUUGGAAAGAACAUUACAAAGGGUGAAAAUCCCAUGUGUCAUGUGUAUGUUUUGUGUACAGUGUGCAUUUCAUGAUUCACAUUCAUUGACAAUUGAAUGUAAAGCGAAUGGUAAACUUCAUUUAAACAUAAAUAUGUUGUUGAAAACUUAUAUCGAACAAAUACCAUGAGGGAAAUGUGAAAAGGAUUUUGAAAAGAAAAUUAAAAGAGCUUACAAUUGCUGGAUUGAUAAGCAAACAAAACACACAUGUGUAUGUGCAAGAUUGUUGUCAUGUUGUGCAAUUCAUGCAAACUAACAUUGCUUUGGUUUUUGUGUAAUUUUGUCAGCUUUGGAAUUGAGAAUGAUUUUUUUGAGUGUGAAUGGAUUGUUGUUUGUUAACAAAGGAAUGCACUUUCAAAAGCAUUGUUUGAUUUGUCAAUCAAGUUUGUGGCGUGUGUUGUGUGUCAAAUUUAAUUACAUAAUUCACAAACACAUGAGUUUGAGCUAUUAACGCAAUUCUUGUUUUGUUUGACCCGUCUU